RNAcentral lists this ribosomal RNA (294 nucleotides) under uncultured bacterium. Its description in RNAcentral is "partial 16S ribosomal RNA". It matches the Rfam family "Bacterial small subunit ribosomal RNA", at positions 775 to 1067 of the family's 1533-position model. The record is from RNAcentral.
GGAUUAGAUACCCUGGUAGUCCACGCUGUAAACGAUGAGAACCAGCCGUUGGAUUCUUUACUGGAUUUAGUGGCGCAGCUAACGCGCUAAGUUCUCCGCCUGGGGAGUACGGCCGCAAGGUUAAAACUCAAAUGAAUUGACGGGGGCCCGCACAAGCGGUGGAGCAUGUGGUUUAAUUCGAAGCAACGCGAAGAACCUUACCUGGCCUUGACAUCCUGCGGACUUGGGAGAGAUUCCUUGGUGCCUUCGGGAGCGCAGAGACAGGUGCUGCAUGGCUGUCGUCAGCUCGUGCCG